AUUUAUAAUUCACUGAUUGGCUUAAGAUUCUGCACAUCCAGGAAUCUUUGCUGUUUUAUUCCUGUGUGUUGUAAUAAUUUUCACUCUGCAUUCUGAUGGGAGAGACAAUUAUCCUAUGUGUUUACACUUGUUGAUAUGUUUCUCUUCAGGUGGUCUCAAGUCAUUUCUAUUCCUUUGGAUAUCCAGUAUAAUGCUUAGUGCUUGUGGGGUGCCCAAUAAAUGUCAGCUGGGUAAUUAAAAGCUGCUUGUAUGUUAUGCCAUCGAUUUCCUUUGCCCCCAAAUUAUGUAAACUGCUUCUUCUCCAAAUGAUAUAUUGUUUGAUUCAGACCAAGAUAUUUGUAAGUAGCAAAUUUUAGAUAUGUUCAUUCAAUUCUGUCUUAAUAUACAAUGAAUUUAGGACACUUCUUAGGGCGAAAAUUGAGAGAUGCUAAUCAGCCAGGUCUCAAAUAGCUGGAGAAAGGAAUCUUAGGCCUGUAACUAUGGUUUGUUAUUUGGGACCCAUUUAGAAAAGAAUUUUCUUUUUUUAGUCAUCAGAGGAGCCAUUAGAGUCUUCCUCAAGACUGAAAACGUAAGUGAGAGUGCAUCUUGAAGUGCUGCAACAGAGGAUGAGGAAAAGAUUAGCAUGUGAAGUUCUACCUACCAAAUAUUCAUAAACUGAACUGGAUCCCAUAAUUAAGAUAAGCCCUCCAAGAGAAGGGAUCGAGAAGAAGCAACAUUGGUUGAAAUAUGUGCAAGGAUACAUACAGAAAGUCCUGCUUCCUGUGUCAGGUGCAGGAGCCACUGCCUAACACCCAGAAAACCAAAAGAUAUUUGCCAAUGAACAGUAACUUGGAUGCUCAAAGGGUGAGUUGCAUUUAGAAAUGAUAUAUGUUUUUAUUAACUAUUCAGUAAAUUUUAUAGUCAG
This 904-nucleotide long non-coding RNA is filed under the name Aotus nancymaae (Ma's night monkey). RNAcentral describes it as "lncRNA (ENSANAG00000038645.1)". The record is from RNAcentral. Lineage: Eukaryota; Metazoa; Chordata; Mammalia; Primates; Aotidae.